GAUGAACGCUGGCGGCGUGCCUAAUACAUGCAAGUCGAGCGAACAGAUAAGGAGCUUGCUCCUUUGACGUUAGCGGCGGACGGGUGAGUAACACGUGGGUAACCUACCUAUAAGACUGGAAUAACUCCGGGAAACCGGGGCUAAUGCCGGAUAACAUUUAGAACCGCAUGGUUCUAAAGUGAAAGAUGGUUUUGCUAUCACUUAUAGAUGGACCCGCGCCGUAUUAGCUAGUUGGUAAGGUAACGGCUUACCAAGGCAACGAUACGUAGCCGACCUGAGAGGGUGAUCGGCCACACUGGAACUGAGACACGGUCCAGACUCCUACGGGAGGCAGCGGUAGGGAAUCUUCCGCAAUGGGCGAAAGCCUGACGGAGCAACGCCGCGUGAGUGAUGAAGGUCUUCGGAUCGUAAAACUCUGUUAUUAGGGAAGAACAAAUGUGUAAGUAACUGUGCACGUCUUGACGGUACCUAAUCAGAAAGCCACGGCUAACUACGUG
RNAcentral lists this ribosomal RNA (497 nucleotides) under uncultured bacterium. RNAcentral's name for it is "partial 16S ribosomal RNA". It matches the Rfam family "Bacterial small subunit ribosomal RNA", at positions 28 to 507 of the family's 1533-position model. The record is from RNAcentral.